AACGAACGCUGGCGGCAUGCCUAACACAUGCAAGUCGAACGAGACCUUCGGGGCUAGUGGCGCACGGGUGCGUAACGCGUGGGAACCUGCCCUUAGGUUCGGAAUAACUCCCCGAAAGGGGUGCUAAUACCGGAUAAUGUCUUCGGACCAAAGAUUUAUCGACUUUGGAUGGGCCCGCGUUGGAUUAGCUAGUUGGUAGGGUAAAAGCCUACCAAGGCGACGAUCCAUAGCUGGUCUGAGAGGAUGAUCAGCCACACUGGGACUGGGACACGGCCCAGACUCCUACGGGAGGCAGCAGUGGGGAAUAUUGGACCAUGGGCGGAAGCCUGAUCCAGCAAUGCCGCGUGAGUGAUGAAGGCCUUAGGGUUGUAAAGCUCUUUUACCCGGGAUGAUAAUGACAGUACCGGGAGAAUAAGCUCCGGCUAACUCCGUG
Molecule: ribosomal RNA, 433 nt
Filed under: uncultured bacterium
Lineage: Bacteria
Description: partial 16S ribosomal RNA
Rfam family: Bacterial small subunit ribosomal RNA
Source: RNAcentral